AGUGAACGCUGGCGGUAGGCCUAACACAUGCAAGUCGAACGGCAGCACAGUAAGAGCUUGCUCUUACGGGUGGCGAGUGGCGGACGGGUGAGGAAUACAUCGGAAUCUACUUUUUCGUGGGGGAUAACGUAGGGAAACUUACGCUAAUACCGCAUACGACCUACGGGUGAAAGCAGGGGAUUUUCGGACUUUGCGCGAUUGAAUGAGCCGAUGUCGGAUUAGCUAGUUGGCGGGGUAAAGGCCCACCAAGGCGACGAUCCGUAGCUGGUCUGAGAGGAUGAUCAGCCACACUGGAACUGAGACACGGUCCAGACUCCUACGGGAGGCAGCAGUGGGGAAUAUUGGACAAUGGGCGCAAGCCUGAUCCAGCCAUACCGCGUGGGUGAAGAAGGCCUUCGGGUUGUAAAGCCCUUUUGUUGGGAAAGAAAAGCAGCAGGUUAAUACCCCGCUGUUCUGACGGUACCCAAAGAAUAAGCACCGGCUAACUUCGUG
RNAcentral lists this ribosomal RNA (492 nucleotides) under uncultured bacterium. RNAcentral describes it as "partial 16S ribosomal RNA". It matches the Rfam family "Bacterial small subunit ribosomal RNA", at positions 29 to 507 of the family's 1533-position model. The record is from RNAcentral.